GAUGAACGCUGGCGGCGUGCCUAAUACAUGCAAGUCGAGCGAGCGGACGAGAAGCUUGCUUCUCUGAUGUUAGCGGCGGACGGGUGAGUAACACGUGGAUAACCUACCUAUAAGACUGGGAUAACUUCGGGAAACCGGAGCUAAUACCGGAUGAUAUUUUGAACCGCAUGGUUCAAAAGUGAAAGACGGUCUUGCUGUCACUUAUAGAUGGAUCCGCGCUGCAUUAGCUAGUCGGUAAGGUAACGGCUUACCAAGGCAACGAUGCAUAGCCGACCUGAGAGGGUGAUCGGCCACACUGGAACUGAGACACGGUCCAGACUCCUACGGGAGGCAGCAGUAGGGAAUCUUCCGCAAUGGGCGAAAGCCUGACGGAGCAACGCCGCGUGAGUGAUGAAGGUCUUCGGAUCGUAAAACUCUGUUAUUAGGGAAGAACAUAUGUGUAAGUAACUGUGCACAUCUUGACGGUACCUAAUCAGAAAGCCACGGCUAACUACGUG
RNAcentral lists this ribosomal RNA (497 nucleotides) under uncultured bacterium. RNAcentral's name for it is "partial 16S ribosomal RNA". It matches the Rfam family "Bacterial small subunit ribosomal RNA", at positions 28 to 507 of the family's 1533-position model. The record is from RNAcentral.